GUAGAGCAGAGGACUG
Molecule: transfer RNA, 16 nt
Filed under: Lindleya mespiloides
Lineage: Eukaryota; Viridiplantae; Streptophyta; Magnoliopsida; Rosales; Rosaceae
Also listed under: 2 other names
Description: partial tRNA-Phe
Source: RNAcentral